GGCCUAAAUAAUACCUAAAGUGCAAAUUUAGGUAAGAAAGUAAUUUUUCAUAGGCUU
RNAcentral lists this transfer RNA (57 nucleotides) under Xenagama batillifera (Vaillants strange agama). Lineage: Eukaryota; Metazoa; Chordata; Lepidosauria; Squamata; Agamidae. The record is from RNAcentral.